This 253-nucleotide ribosomal RNA is filed under the name uncultured bacterium. RNAcentral describes it as "partial 16S ribosomal RNA". It matches the Rfam family "Bacterial small subunit ribosomal RNA", at positions 524 to 776 of the family's 1533-position model. The record is from RNAcentral.
UACGAAGGGAGCUAGCGUUGUUCGGAUUUAUUGGGCGUAAAGAGCGUGUAGGCGGCUAGAUAGGUCCGUUGUGAAAACUCGAGGCUCAACCUCGAGACGUCGAUGGAAACCAUCUGGCUAGAGUCCGGAAGAGGAGAGUGGAAUUCCUGGUGUAGCGGUGAAAUGCGCAGAUAUCAGGAAGAACACCCGUGGCGAAGGCGGCUCUCUGGUACGUGACUGACGCUGAGGAGCGAAAGCGUGGGGAGCGAACAGG